Molecule: long non-coding RNA, 648 nt
Organism: Sander lucioperca (pikeperch)
Lineage: Eukaryota; Metazoa; Chordata; Actinopteri; Perciformes; Percidae
Exons: 2
Source: RefSeq, a predicted model, not a curated record
GUUGCACGUGAUGCGGGUACAUGAUGCUCGUGUGGAUACUGUAUCGCAAUGACCACCGAGGAAGAAAGCCUGUGCUGUGAGGAAUGGGAUCUCAUCCAGCCUGGUCUGGAUGGGUCCCCAGAUAACGGACAUGGUUUCGCCCAUACACAGAGGUUUCCCCAUCUGAUCUAUAAGGAUGUUCUGGAAGCGUUUUUUUUUUUGUCCUGAAAGUAAAUUGGAAGAAGCAGCCUAAACCGGACGGACCUGAUGGCCAGCUGUCUAAUGACCAAUGCAGACUCGUGGCCUACCGGGUGAUUCUGGAGUGGGUUCUGAGAGGAGAGCGCCUUGGCCGUGGCACCAGAAGAACUUUGCCUACCUGUGUUAUAGCAGUGAUCAGACACGAGUACCCCUCCCCCACUGGAAGUUACACGGGAUUCAAAGAGGCAGAGGACAUUUUCUGAGUCUAAUAAUAUGAUUUCUAGUAAUACUUGGUAUUGCCAUUACUAGGAAUAAACAAAGCAAUUGCACAGUUCUAUUAGGAAAAAGUGUUGUACAAGUAAAGUAAAUUGUAAGAAUAAAUACAUUGUAAGAAUAAGUACAUUGUACAGUUCUAUAAUACAUUGCUGCACCUGUCUGUUAUCAGUGGUUUUAUAAUAUAACAGUACACAU